CUCCCCGGUAAGUUGUAAAAAAAAAAAAUGUUUAUUGAGCGGCUUCAGUAACGUGCAGUAACGGGGUGUCGGUAAUGGUAAUGGAGUUAUAGUGACAGUCAGAGUAAUUAGUUAGAUUAAUCGUUACUGAAAAAAGUAACGGCGUUAGUAACUU
Thalassophryne amazonica is the source of this 154-nucleotide long non-coding RNA. RefSeq lists it as uncharacterized. The record is from RefSeq and is a predicted model, not a curated record. NCBI's taxonomy places the organism in Eukaryota, Metazoa, Chordata, Actinopteri, Batrachoidiformes, Batrachoididae. The transcript is spliced from 3 exons.